GAUGAACGCUGGCGGCGUGCCUAAUACAUGCAAGUCGAGCGAACAGACGAGGAGCUUGCUCCUCUGACGUUAGCGGCGGACGGGUGAGUAACACGUGGAUAACCUACCUAUAAGACUGGGAUAACUUCGGGAAACCGGAGCUAAUAUCGGAUAAUAUAUUGAACCGCAUGGUUCAAUAGUGAAAGACGGUUUUGCUGUCACUUAUAGAUGGAUCCGCGCCGCAUUAGCUAGUUGGUAAGGUAACGGCUUACCAAGGCAACGAUGCGUAGCCGACCUGAGAGGGUGAUCGGCCACACUGGAACUGAGACACGGUCCAGACUCCUACGGGAGGCAGCAGUAGGGAAUCUUCCGCAAUGGGCGAAAGCCUGACGGAGCAACGCCGCGUGAGUGAUGAAGGUCUUCGGAUCGUAAAACUCUGUUAUUAGGGAAGAACAAAUGUGUAAGUAACUAUGCACGUCUUGACGGUACCUAAUCAGAAAGCCACGGCUAACUACGU
This 496-nucleotide ribosomal RNA is filed under the name uncultured bacterium. RNAcentral describes it as "partial 16S ribosomal RNA". It matches the Rfam family "Bacterial small subunit ribosomal RNA", at positions 28 to 506 of the family's 1533-position model. The record is from RNAcentral.